UUCCCAUUUCUUUCAUAAUCAAAAUACACGGAUAUAAUAAAUAAAUGCCUGGCUCCAUCCUGUCUGCCUUCUAACCACCUAAUGAGAAGAAAAAAAUGAGAGAUUUUCACGUAGAGACAGACAUCUACGACCUACGUUGUCCUCCACCCAAAUAUGACCUUGUAUUUAGAAAUGAAAAUAGUACCUCUUUCUUGACAAACAAAAGGGCAGAUUCGUCAUUCCAUAUCGCCAUCUUCCUCGUCGAGAAAAACGAUCGAGUCCCCAUUUCAGCUCACAGUGCCCUUUGCGCAAUAUAAUGCCCCCUUUAAAUUAAGCUUUUUUGGACAAGUUGACUCGAUACAUAUAGUUACGAACAAGACAGAUAUUCUAAAAGUGAUGAAAUAAAAUUCAAAGAAGAGAAGAAAAUUGGAGAUGAUAAAGAGAGAGGUCUUUUUCAGCUUUCUGCAUUAUUCACCACUAUUACUCCUACUAAAGGUCUAGAGAGAGCAGAGUGUUUGUUUGAAUGGUUUUGCAGAAGAAAUGUGAAAAGGACCAUUGCCAGAGGGUUAAGGGGUGGGGUAUUGGGAUCUGAGAAUUUGGAAGAUUAUGUGUUUUGGCCUUUGGAAUUUUGGUAGGCCGGUGAAAGGCCAUUUUCAACUUUCUCUUUCUUCCUUCUUCUAGCAGUAAGUGUUUGGCAUUUGUAUUCUGCCUUUACCUUUUCCCCUUUUAAUUCAUCAAUCGAUGGGUUUUUAUACUCCCUAUGUUUCUGAACCUAUUUUAUUUUUAGCUUAAAAUUAUAAUUUUGCUAUUAA
RNAcentral lists this long non-coding RNA (791 nucleotides) under Nicotiana benthamiana. RNAcentral's name for it is "long non-coding RNA (NBEN_LNC035567)". The record is from RNAcentral. Lineage: Eukaryota; Viridiplantae; Streptophyta; Magnoliopsida; Solanales; Solanaceae.